RNAcentral lists this long non-coding RNA (221 nucleotides) under Mytilus galloprovincialis (Mediterranean mussel). The record is from RNAcentral. Lineage: Eukaryota; Metazoa; Mollusca; Bivalvia; Mytilida; Mytilidae.
CUGGUCGGCUUGGAAUCAGAAUAGUGUGUCCGGGUAAGGUGACAUGUCUUCAUUCGGAAUGUUACAUUUUGAACUAGCAUGUUAAAAAUCCGGCGAAGGGUGUCGGUCUAGUACAAAUCACGGUUACUAUUCAUAUCACAUUAACAUGUUCUUGUACGAAUAUGCAUAUCAAUUUGCCGCUGGACGUCAAAAAUCCACCCAUAAUCAUCUAUAGUUGAAAC